AGUGAACGCUGGCGGUAGGCCUAACACAUGCAAGUCGAACGGCAGCACAGGAGAGCUUGCUCUCUGGGUGGCGAGUGGCGGACGGGUGAGGAAUACAUCGGAAUCUACUUUUUCGUGGGGGAUAACGUAGGGAAACUUACGCUAAUACCGCAUACGACCUACGGGUGAAAGCAGGGGAUCUUCGGACCUUUCGCGAUUGAAUGAGCCGAUGUCGGAUUAGCUAGUUGGCAGGGUAAAGGCCCACCAAGGCGACGAUCCGUAGCUGGUCUGGGAGGAUGAUCAGCCACACUGGAACUGAGACACGGUCCAGACUCCUACGGGAGGCAGCAGUGGGGAAUAUUGGACAAUGGGCGCAAGCCUGAUCCAGCCAUACCGCGUGGGUGAAGAAGGCCUUCGGGUUGUAAAGCCCUUUUGUUGGGAAAGAAAUCCAGCUGGUUAAUACCCGGUUGGGAUGACGGUACCCAAAGAAUAAGCACCGGCUAACUUCGUGCCAGCCGCCGCGGUAA
This 506-nucleotide ribosomal RNA is filed under the name uncultured bacterium. Its description in RNAcentral is "partial 16S ribosomal RNA". It matches the Rfam family "Bacterial small subunit ribosomal RNA", at positions 29 to 523 of the family's 1533-position model. The record is from RNAcentral.